ACGCUGGCGGCACGCCUAACACAUGCAAGUCGAACGAAGUAGCAAUACUUAGUGGCAGACGGGUGAGUAACAUGUAGGUAUCUGCCCUUUGGCCUGGAAUAACACGAGGAAACUUGUGCUAAUACCGGAUAAGUCUUUACGGAGAAAGCUUUAUGCACCAUUGGAUGAGCCUGCACUUGAUUAGUUUGUUGGUGGGGUAAUGGCCUACCAAGACUGUGAUCAAUAGCUGAUUUGAGAGGAUGAUCAGCCACAUUGGGACUGAGACACGGCCCAAACUCCUACGGGAGGCAGCAGUGGGGAAUCUUGCACAAUGGAGGAAACUCUGAUGCAGCGAUGCCGCGUGAGUGAAGAAGGCCCUUGGGUUGUAAAGCUCUUUCGUCGGGGAAGAAAAUGACUGUACCCGAAUAAGAAGGUCCGGCUAACUUCGUGCCAGCAGCCGCGGUAAUACGAAGGGACCUAGCGUAGUUCGGAAUUACUGGGCUUAAAGAGUUCGUAGGUGGUUGAAAAAGUUAGUGGUGAAAUCCCAGAGCUUAACUCUGGAACUGCCAUUAAAACUUUUCAGCUAGAGUAUGAUAGAGGAAAGCAGAAUUUCUAGUGUAGAGGUGAAAUUCGUAGAUAUUAGAAAGAAUACCAAUUGCGAAGGCAGCUUUCUGGAUCAUUACUGACACUGAGGAACGAAAGCAUGGGUAGCGAAGAGGAUUAGAUACCCUCGUAGUCCAUGCCGUAAACGAUGUGUGUUAGACGUUGGAAAUUUAUUUUCAGUGUCGCAGGGAAACCGAUAAACACACCGCCUGGGGAGUACGACCGCAAGGUUAAAACUCAAAUGAAUUGACGGGGACCCGCACAAGUAGUGGAGCAUGUGGUUUAAUUCGAAGAUACGCGCAGAACCUUACCAACACUUGACAUGUUCGUCGCGACUCUAAGAGAUUAGAGUUUUCGGUUCGGCCGGACGAAACACAGGUGCUGCAUGGCUGUCGUCAGCUCGUGUCGUGAGAUGUUGGGUUAAGUCCCGCAACGAGCGCAACCCUCACUUUUAGUUGCCAUCAUUAAGUUGGGCACUCUGAAAGAACUGCCAGUGAUAAGCUGGAGGAAGGUGGGGAUGACGUCAAGUCCUCAUGGCCCUUACGUGUUGGGCUACACACGUGCUACAAUGGUAUCUACAACAGGAAGCAAGACUGCGAAGUUAAGCAAAUCCCUAAAAGAUACCUCAGUUCGGAUUGCACUCUGCAACUCGAGUGCAUGAAGCUGGAAUUACUAGUAAUCGUGGAUCAGCGUGCCACGGUGAAUGCGUUCCCGGGUCUUGUACACACCGCCCGUCACACCAUGGGAGUUGGUUCUACCUUAAGGCAAGGUUUCAAACCCUUGACCACGGUAUAGUCAGCGACUGGGGUGAAGUCGUAGCAAGGUAGCCGUAGGGGAACCUGCGGCUGGAUUACCUCCUUUCU
This 1445-nucleotide ribosomal RNA is filed under the name uncultured marine bacterium. RNAcentral's name for it is "16S ribosomal RNA". It matches the Rfam family "Bacterial small subunit ribosomal RNA". The record is from RNAcentral.